Molecule: ribosomal RNA, 465 nt
Filed under: uncultured bacterium
Lineage: Bacteria
Description: partial 16S ribosomal RNA
Rfam family: Bacterial small subunit ribosomal RNA
Source: RNAcentral
GACGAACGCUGGCGGCGUGCUUAACACAUGCAAGUCGUACGGUAAGGCCCUUUCUGGGGUACACGAGUGGCGAACGGGUGAGUAACACGUGAGUAACCUGCCCACAACUUUGGGAUAACGCUAGGAAACUGGUGCUAAUACUGGAUAUGUGCUCCUGCUGCAUGGUGGGGGUUGGAAAGCUCCGGCGGUUGUGGAUGGACUCGCGGCCUAUCAGCUUGUUGGUGGGGUAGUGGCCUACCAAGGCGGCGACGGGUAGCCGGCCUGAGAGGGUGACCGGCCACAUUGGGACUGAGAGACGGCCCAGACUCCUACGGGAGGCAGCAGUGGGGAAUAUUGCACAAUGGGCGCAAGCCUGAUGCAGCAGCGCCGCGUGCGGGAUGACGGCCUUCGGGUUGUAAACCGCUUUCAGCAGGGACGAAGCUUUUUGUGACGGUACCUGCAGAAGAAGCACCGGCUAACUACGUG